Oreochromis aureus is the source of this 406-nucleotide long non-coding RNA. Lineage: Eukaryota; Metazoa; Chordata; Actinopteri; Cichliformes; Cichlidae. The record is from Ensembl.
GGCGGACAUGCGAAAGUUCGUGCUGAGGUCUAUUCCAACCUAGGAAGUGUUAUGAACAGCUGAUCGGAUCGGCAAAACGUGUUUCUGGAAUAUUAUGUUUUUGUUGCUGCAAGCGCUUUUUAUGCAGUUUUUGCAAAGCUAUAUGUGGAAGGAAACUGUGACCUAGGACAAGCUGAUGGCAUAAGAUCCAGGGACGGCUGCUCGGUAGCUGCAAUACAGAAGCCCUAAUCAGAGGCACGAGUAGGCCUUAUGCGCAUCGAUUUCAUGCAGUGUGUUUGGAGGAGUGAGCUGAAAUGAAGACAGAGUGACGGAGGACACGAGCACUAGGCAUGCUGUCAACAUUUAAAUAUCAUCAGCUGUUCUUUGUUUGUAAUGCUGCCCCACGGUUGAUGAGCACAGUUCUGAC